RNAcentral lists this ribosomal RNA (1301 nucleotides) under Cyrtonotula longialata. RNAcentral describes it as "16S ribosomal RNA". The stretch from base 870 to 1228 matches the Rfam family "Archaeal large subunit ribosomal RNA", at positions 2152 to 2714 of the family's 2987-position model. The record is from RNAcentral. Lineage: Eukaryota; Metazoa; Arthropoda; Insecta; Blattodea; Blaberidae.
UAAGAUAUAAUUACUAUUAAUAUAGAUAUUUAUUUGUAAAUUUAUAUAAAUCAUUUAAUUUUUAUUGUAAUUGUUAAAGAUCUAAUUCUAAUAGUUAUAAUUAAGUAGUACUGUGAAGGAAGAAAAGAAUAAAAAUGUUAUUAAUUUUAAAGUUAAUUUUAAUUUUUGUACCUUGUGUAUCAGGAUUAAUCAAUAAAAUUUUAUUUAUAUUAAUUUUCUCGAUUUCUUUAGAGUUAAUAUAUUAUAUUAGUUAUUGUUGAAAAAAUAUUAAUAAUAAUAUAUUAGUGAUGAAAUGUUAAUCGUUAAUGAAGAUAUCUAGUUUUUUGGGAAAUAAAUUUAAUUUAUAUUCUUUCUUUAAUAAAUUUCUUUAGAAUAAAGUUUUAGUUAGAAUAAAUAAUAAAGGGGAUAAGCUCUUUAUUAAAGUUUUAUAGGAAUAUAAUUUGUAAAUUAAUGUGGAUUUAAAAGUAAUUUUCAUUAUAAGUAUGUUAAAAUAUUAUUUUUUUAUAUAAAAUUUUUUUGUUCUUUAAUAUUUUACUAAAAUUUUUUAAUUAAUAAAUUAUUAAUUAAUUUUAUGAUUAAAUUAGUAUAAUUAUUUAUAUUAAAAUGUUUAAUUUUGGAAUAGUUAUUUUGAGGAAUUAGGCAAAAACUAAAUUAUUCGCCUGUUUAACAAAAACAUCUCUUCUUGUUAAUAUAGGAAGUAUAACCUGCCCAAUGAUUAUUGAAUGGCCGCAGUAUACUGACUGUGCAAAGGUAGCAUAAUCAUUAGUCUUUUAAUUGGAGGCUGGAAUGAAUGGUUGGACGAAAUAAUAGCUAUCUUAAUUUUAAUAUAUUAGAAUUUAAUUUUUGAGUUAAAAAGCUUAAAUAAUUUUUUGGGACGAGAAGACCCUAUAGAGUUUAAUAUUUAUAAUAAUUUUAUAUUAUUUGUUAUCUUUAAUAUUAUUAUAAUUAUUUAAUUGGGGUGAUUGGAAGAUAAAAGUAACUCUUUUUAAUAUUUUCUUAUGAAUUAAUAUUAUUAUGAUCCAUAAUUAGUGAUUAAAAGACUAAAUUACCUUAGGGAUAACAGCGUAAUUCUUUUUAAGAGUUCAUAUCGACAAUAGAGAUUGCGACCUCGAUGUUGGAUUAAGAUUAUAUUUAGGUGUAGAAGCUUAAAAAAUUAGGUCUGUUCGACCUUUAAAAUCUUACAUGAUCUGAGUUCAAACCGGCGUGAGCCAGGUUGGUUUCUAUCUAAUAUUAAUUAAAAUAUUUUAGUACGAAAGGACCAAAUAUUUAAAAUAAUUUUUAUUUAUAGAUUAUUAUUAAUA